AUUGGGUUUAGGAAAAGAAGAACCGGUUGGGUUUAGGAAAAGAAGAACCGGGUGGGUUUAGGACAAGAUGAACCGGUUGGGUUUUAGGACAAGAAGAACCGGUUGGGUUUAGGACAAGAAGAACCGGUUGGGUUGUGGAAAAGAAGAACCGGUCGGGUUUAGGAAAAGAAGAACCGGUCGGGUUUAGGAAAAAAAGAACCGGUUGGGUUGUGGAAAAGAAGAACCGGUCGGGUUUAGGAAAAGACGAACCGGUCGGGUUUAGGAAAAAAAGAACCGGUUGGGUUGUGGAAAAGAAGAACCGGUUGGGUU
This is a long non-coding RNA of Etheostoma cragini (Arkansas darter), 309 nucleotides long. RefSeq lists it as uncharacterized. NCBI's taxonomy places the organism in Eukaryota, Metazoa, Chordata, Actinopteri, Perciformes, Percidae. The transcript is spliced from 2 exons. The record is from RefSeq and is a predicted model, not a curated record.